UACGUAGGGUGCGAGCGUUAAUCGGAAUUACUGGGCGUAAAGCGUGCGCAGGCGGCGCGUUAAGACAGGUGUGAAAGCCCCGAGCUUAACUUGGGAAUUGCGCUUGUGACUGGCGUGCUGGAGUGUGGCAGAGGGAGGUGGAAUUCCACGUGUAGCAGUGAAAUGCGUAGAGAUGUGGAGGAACACCAGUGGCGAAGGCGGCGAUCUGGGAAGAUACUGACGCUGAGGUGCGAAAGCGUGGGGAGCAAACAGG
Molecule: ribosomal RNA, 253 nt
Filed under: uncultured bacterium
Lineage: Bacteria
Description: partial 16S ribosomal RNA
Rfam family: Bacterial small subunit ribosomal RNA
Source: RNAcentral